Molecule: long non-coding RNA, 799 nt
Organism: Rosa chinensis
Lineage: Eukaryota; Viridiplantae; Streptophyta; Magnoliopsida; Rosales; Rosaceae
Exons: 7
Source: RefSeq, a predicted model, not a curated record
CGGGGCUUCUCACUAACUCUCUGUUCUUUCCAGCCUUCUCUUCGAUGGCCACCACGACCACGAUCACCUCUCUUGCAUCACUGUUGCAAUUUUUUCAACCUUAGGGUUUCAAAUUUGGGGCUUGUGCAGCAACCUAUCAAAUUUGUUUCCCUCGUUACAAAAUUGGAGUUUAUCUUGACACGCAUGCAGCUCGUCAUGGAAAGUUUCUGUCACUGUGAUUUGAAUUUAGAUUCGAACAGCGUAUGAUGUGAGUUUGAGUGAUGAGAGCUGACCUCAAGAUCUCUUUGAUUUCGUCAGCGGCAAACUCUUAAACUCUUUCAAGUCAUGGGAAAGGCUUGAUGUAGGUGGCAUUAUAUCCCACUCUUUUGAAUUGGAGGCCAAGACGAAAGGAUUGUUUAGUGGUGCAACAACUGUUAUUACAUUUCGCUUUCCCUCAAAGGAUGCUCUGCAGGAGAGUGUUGAGGCUUUUAUCAACUGUGUUGUGAAAAAUAGAGGAUUCAGCUAGGGAAAGCACGUUGCCUGCUUGAUCAGAAUGUGGAAGGACCAGUCACAUAUACAAUUGUUAUACUUUCGAUGAGAAUACUCCACUUGUUGAUGAUCCAGAGUACAUCUCUGCAUUGGGUGAAACAAUAUUCAAGGGAAUGCAAAGCGGAGAUAAGGAUGGGGUCUGGCUAAUGCAGGAGAGAUCUUUUUGCAGUUCAGUGAUGGACCAAGAGAGAUGAUAUAUUGUUCUUAUUUCAGAUGAAAGAAGAGUGAAAGGAGUCUCUUGUAGGAGUUGUUUACAAUAAUUUGUAUUUAC